Nelumbo nucifera (sacred lotus) is the source of this 1435-nucleotide non-coding RNA. Lineage: Eukaryota; Viridiplantae; Streptophyta; Magnoliopsida; Proteales; Nelumbonaceae. The record is from RefSeq and is a predicted model, not a curated record.
ACGACACUUAUUUUUUUCUUUCAUUCUUAUAUGCGAAUGCCCAAAAUGCAAGUGACAAUCAAAUGAUACUCACAGUUCAGCUUCUCCUUCUCCAGUAUCGAAGCAGCGAGACAAUCAUCGAUUUGGCUGGUUCUUUUGAGAUUUGAGUGGAUAAGAAGAACGAAACACCUCAAAAACGACAAUAACGAACAGGUCCAGGAUUGGAACAUUUUCAUUGAACCAUUGAUUGACAAUUUUCAAAGAACCAGCAAAUGCAAUUGUUAUUCAGUUUUUGAGUUGCAUAAGUGAGGAUUUAGCAGAUGCUGCUGAUGUAAUUCUCCACCAUGUUCUAUUACAUAUGCAAGUAUAGGGAGAGUCUUAUUGGGAGUAGUUGGCGAACAUAGUAUGGACAAGAGUUGGAUUUAUCGAUCAAGAGAGCAUAUAAACAAUCUUAGAAGAUAAAUCAUUGCAAGCAAGUCAAAGACAUAGAACGCAUCCAUAGCGAAAACUUUCUCAAAUGGUUUGACAAUCAUGUCAUGGAGAUGCAAUAAAGAAGGCCUGAGUUGGUCUCAGAUGACCUUAGAUGGUUGGCUCUUGGUCCUAAUGAUAUUGCUAAAAGGGAAUUUGCAAGGAACAACUAUAUGAUCUAACUAUGUAGGCUCUCAAGGAAAGGAUUCUUGGCUCAAGGCUACCAAUGAGGAUCUUUGCAAGGAACUUCAUGAAUAUCAUAACAGAUGUGCUGCAUCAGAGAAAGGUCCCUUCAUGUUCUGGUCAUCCAGAAACUUAUUCAGAGAAAAGAAGUUGAAGACUGCUCGCUCACUCAAAGCUAAUGUACAACGAAAGAAGAAUGACUACACUACUAUUUUUUAUAUUAUAUGAAUUGUUUGUCUUGUUGUUUUGUGUGAUUUCUAUGUCUCAUGUCUAUCCAUUCUCUCAAUUCAAGAAUUCACAUCCAUAACACGAGUGUGAUACGUUAUGAGUUAUUUUUGCUCCUGUAUCAUGUCCUGCUACAUCCAAGGGCAUUUUCAAAUUACAAUCAAAUUUUUAUUUAAGUAGCAUUUAUUAUUUUUUACCUUUACAAGGAUUUGAAAUAAAAUGCCUACAUUUAUUACCUGAAUUGAGAUUUGUAUUAAUUAAUAUGAGAAUCAUUCACUUCCUACUCUAAGAAAAGAAAAGAGUUUCCAAUACUUUUGAAAUAAGAAUUAAUACAAAUUCUCAUAUGCAUUCCUAUGAAACAAAUUCAAAGAAAAAGAGAAAUCCAUCUAUAAAAACAAUUCACUUCCUACUCUAAGAAAAGAAAAAAAAAAGUUCAUCUUGACAUUCCAUCUAUUACAUUAUUCUCCCAUUCCUAUGAAGUUGAAAACAAUUCACUUCCUACUCUAAGAAAAGAAAAAGAACAAAUUCUCAUAUGCAUUUGUAUUAAUUAAUAUAAAAUGCCUACAUUUUUAUAGAUGGA